Molecule: ribosomal RNA, 429 nt
Filed under: Triticum aestivum (bread wheat)
Lineage: Eukaryota; Viridiplantae; Streptophyta; Magnoliopsida; Poales; Poaceae
Description: partial small subunit ribosomal RNA
Source: RNAcentral
AUGGCGAGCACUACCAAUCCCGCGGUGAUUUUCUGCAUUAUUCUAGUUUUCCUGCAGGUGUCUUGCACCGUUUCCCGGCGCCCCACGGAAGGCAAGUUUGAGCUUCAACAGAACGUCCCGGCCGUGAUGACGGUGAACGGCUUCCAGGAAGGAGAGGGGGGCGGCGGGCCGGCGGCGUGCGACGGCCAGUACCACAGCGACGACGAGUUCGUGGUGUCGCUGUCCUCGGAGUGGUUCGCGGGCGGGGCCCGGUGCGGCAGGGUAAUCCGCAUCGUCGACCCUUCCAAUUACGGCAUAAACGCCAAGGUCGUCGACGAGUGCGCCGGCUGCGACAACGAAGUGGGCGCCUCAUCCCAUAUCUGGAAGAACUUCGAUCUUGACACCAGCCUCGGUCAGGUGGACAUGAAAUGGUCGGACCUCGACUUCUAA